CAGCACCAGGUCUAUAUGCUGCCUGCUGGUUUACAUGUUGACCGGAGACAUGCUGACUUACUUCGAUUCCAAAGCCAAUCGCAGUAUACCGCUUCCAGCCAGCUUAACCAGUGAAUGUCGUGAACUGAUUGAAAAGUGUCUGAACAAAAGCAUGACACUGGAUGAGUUCUUACAACAUGACUGGAUGAAGUCGCACUUGGAUGAAGACAAGACUCAACGUAGAUGGAGUGUGAACUUCACAUAGAAAGCAGCAAAAUCUUCUACAGAAAAUCCCCUCAUCUUAAAAAAGAAAAAAAAAUCAAGAUUUUCUAUAAAAAAAACUCAUAAAAAUCAACACAAACAUCAUAAAGAACUGAUCCAGAACCAGAGCCCGAUCCAGAGUCUGCAGGAUCAGCAUCAUCAUCUCUCCCAGGAAACUGCCUCUUCUGUGCAGUCGGAAAUGGAAACCAGCGGUCGACUCCGAGGACAUGGAUGGUUUAAUCUGACGGCAUAUUGAGGAGGAAGUGUUGUUUCUCCUGAGGAUGAUGAUGAUUAGGAAACACCGGCGCCAGUACAAUGCAUUGGGUCAGGUUUAUAUGAAAAGCAAAAGGUUUAAAAAUUAUAGAUUUUAGGACAGCCCUAGGCUAAAAUGAGCAUGUAUUUUAUUUAUUGGUGAAAAUAAUUCCCUAAACACAAAUGAAGAUAUUUAUUAGAUGGAAUCAGAGAGCUCCCUCAUCCUCCAUAUACAGCAACAGCCCCAAGUUGCUCAGAAACAAAGUCCAGAAACUACCAGAAAAUCUUUUUUGGUAGUUUUCUAGACUUUUGAGGACGAGAGCGCUCUCAGAUUUCAGAAUUAGUGAUAUCAGAAAUGAGCUAGGAGGAGUACGGUGGUGGUGGAGGGCCUUGUUAUUCAGCUUGUGUUGUGGAUGCAAGUGUACAUCACUAACACUGACCCCUAAAGUAAUGUAGACUUCUAGAUUUCUAAUGUUAUUUUUGGACAGUCCUAGACUAAAAUAAGCAUGCAACACAAAUGAUAUUUUUAGAUGAAAUCUGAGAGCUCCCUCAUCCUCCAUAUACAGCAACAGCCCCAAGUUGCUCAGGAAUUCUGGUAUUUUUCUGGACUCUGAGGAUGAGAGAGCUCUCAGAAAUGCCAAUAUACUCAAUGAGCUAGGAGGAGUAAGGUGGUGGUGGAGGGCCUUUUAAUAACUAUAAUUAAUAAUAAUAAAAGUAUUGAUACAUGUUAAUAAGAGAGAUUAAUGAUGCCAGAAUUGUCAGUUUUGGGUGAACUGCCCCUUUAAGCAUUAGCAUCAGUGCAUUUCAUCAUGGUAAUGAAGUGAGGCUUGAUGAAUGAAAGUCUUAAUUAUUAUAUUUUAGUUGAAUCAUUAUUAAGUCACUGUUUAAAUGACAUCUGCAUCACAUCUUUAAAGUCAAGCAACAAAAACCCGUGUCAUGAUCUGAAGCCACACGACACAACAUGCAGGAGCUAAAAUACAACUGAUGAUCAGGUUUAGCUUAUCUUAUCAAUCUGACCCAAUGCAUCGCCACCCAGACUGAAGUACAGGUGAAAUCAGAGGCGUUGAGAGUGCCGGUGUUCAACUCUUUCAGGGUGGAUUUAUGUAAUCGUCACUCUUAUAAUCUCUAGAGAAACAACACAUCCUCCUCAAAUGACGUGUCCAUCGAUAUCCUUGCAGGAUCAGCAUUAAAGAGGCAGAUUGAUCCUUUUACUGAUUAAAUAAAGUUGAUUGUACAUCCAGAAAUGAAGAGUUUUGCCAUCGUUUACUCAUUCCUUGACUUGUUCAACACUAUUUUGAGUUUCUUCUGUUGAACACAAAAGAUGUUUUGAAGAAUUCGCCAUUGACCUCCACAGUGUGUGCUUUUCCUACUAUGGAUGUCAAUGGUCAUGCGUUUCAGCAUUCUUCAGUGCAUCUUCCUUUGUGUUCAACAGAUGAAAAUGAUCACAGAAUUUUCAUUUUUGGGUGAACUAUCUCUUAAAGUGUCUCCUAAAUACUGCUAAUUUCUCCCCGAGCCUCUGAUCAUGAGCUGAAUAACGGUGAGUUUGCUGUCAGUAUUACUUCUCAUUUUUAAUCAUUUAAGC
Molecule: long non-coding RNA, 2074 nt
Organism: Danio rerio (zebrafish)
Lineage: Eukaryota; Metazoa; Chordata; Actinopteri; Cypriniformes; Danionidae
Source: Ensembl